UUAAAGCAAAGUAUAAGGGAAUUGCACUCCAGUCUAGUAGGUGGCGGUAAUGCAACAUAUUGGAUGCCAACCGCCGUUAAACCUCAUCGAAGAAGAAAUAUCAGCGGGUACGUUGAUAUUUUGGCAACCUUUGCACUUCGACGCCAACCUAUAACAUUGCUCUAUGUAAAAGGAAGUGAACAGUGACUAAGAACAAUUUCCACGCUAGCGUUUACUGUUGUGAUUAUUUUAACUACACAGCAUCAUAUACUUACGCCAUGUAGUCUUUAAUUCGCGUUGGAGAUAGGACUCGGUUGAUAGACGUUAUAUAGGUAACGCAAACUGCUACCAAUGGCUGACUGUAUGGUUUUUCACACUCAAAUAGCCUCUAUCAUGGAGGUGCUAGCGAAUGCAGCAGUGGCAGAGAUUUGUAAACUCGUAGACGACGACUAUGCAGUGUUUCGUUUGGAAAUUUCUGAAAGCCAGAAACAAAACAGGGCAUUGCGGAGGAAAUUACAGAUUCAGGAACUGAAGGUGGCACGGGGGCGCGCAGACAGGACAAUGCGAGAGCGCGUCCUCGACAGUCGUCCCAGUAGUGUCAAGAUCCUCGACCAAUUCAGAGGAAUGGGAAGAGGUGGCAGACAUCUCACUGGAGGCCACAGGAGCUUUGUGAAGCCAGCGGGACACAAUACAUGGAGAGAUGACCAACCAAUCACUGUUCAUGAGGGGAGUGGAACCUCAACCCAGCAUUUUAUCAUGAUAGAGGUUAGUUUAAUAGUGUUGCAUUACAAAUUACAGUUACUUUGUAAAUCAAAUGUGUCCCGUUUGUUUCAGAAAGGCUCCCCUCAGCUAUUCACUUCAGCUAUCUGCCUUAGGGGAACUUGAGAGACUUCCCUACAACAUUAUCCAAUACGCCAUCUUUCCUUGUUUUGUAGAUUGAGAAUUUGCUUGAAAUGUGUGUUAUAUAUAUAUUAAAAUGUAUGUGUUUCCAAGGUAAUGUACUUACCAUAUGCCGGUUUUCAACGUAUCUGACAACCAAGAAGAAGCAUAAAGCCGAAACGUUAAUCAUUAAAUGUUUAGCUUUUUUUGUUGUUGUACUGACUGGCAAUGUUCAGUAAAAAAGGUCCAGCGUAAUCUAAUAUAAAGGUUUUUAUCGUCCUGUGAGUCCAACUUGAGCAGGCACGCUAACAGGGUUGCUGAGUUGUAGUGCAAAUGAGACUUUAAUAACUUAUUCUUAUUUCUUGAGUGUUAAAUAUUUAGAUAAAAGGCAUCUCAAUACACAAAUACGAAUAUAAUUGUACCUUCAAAAAGUAUUCACAGCUCUUGACUUUUUCCACAUUUUGUUAUGUUACUGCCUGAAUUGAACAUGUAUUAAAUUUAAAUGUUGUCACUGAUCUCCACACAAUACCUCAUAAUGUCAAAGUGGAAUUUUGUUUGUAGAACAAUUUAGAAAGUAAUACAAAAUGAAAAUCUGAAAUGUAUUGAGUCACAUUUUCAACCCCUUUGUUAUGGCAAGCCUAAAGUUUAGGAGUACAAAUCUGCUUAACAAAUCACAUAAUAUGUUGCUUGGACUUAUUCUGUGUUCAAUAAGAGGUUAACAUGAUUUUUGAAUAACUAGCCCAUUUCUAUACCCCACACAUACAGAUAAUUGUAAGGUCCCUCAAUCGACCAGUGAAUUUCAAGCAGAUAUUCAACCACAAAGACCAGUCUGCAGAGGCUGCAGGUCCUGGGGUCAAGCAGGAGAGGUCUGAAGGAGGGGAGGACCCACGGCACAGCAGAGACAUCCAGACUGGAUCAGCGACUGGAGUGGCGCCCCCUGUAGCCACGGCAGAACCCAACACCACCCCAGCGCAGCCUAGGACCCAAUGCAGCAUCACGGAAGUCAGUGGAACGCCAAACGCCGCCCUCAAGUCAGAGACGGACACCGAGACUUUAACGGGGCUGGGACAACUGGGCUGUCCUCCUGCUCCCCGCUCAGAGAAUUUACUUUACGGUAGCCCGAGGAUGGUUCUAUCCCAUCAGGACUCAGGUGACUCGUUACAGGCUGGCAAUGAUCAGUCUUGUUCAUACGCUACAGAGACACCUGGUGACAUGCCUGUGGGCUUAGAUACACAGACUAAUCCAAUGAGAGGGGAAAUUAACCUGUACAGUAGUAGUGUAUACUCUGAAGGGCACCUAGAAAAGAAAGAGGUUAUAGUGGUAGAUGAGGUGAAAGUGGAGGGUGAUGCACCUCUGACAUGGAAUGUAGACGAGACUCACUUAAGAGAAGGACACUCACUAGGCAACACCAGUGACUUCUUAGACUACAAUGUGGUGACCCACUCCCCUUUACUUACUUUCAGGGAUCGUGACCCAGUGUCCACGUCGAUGGCACCUUCUGAUUCACACGGUCGCGUCCUUUUCGAUCAGGUAUUGAACUCAAACAAAAGGAAUAGAGCUAAGGGUAAGGGAGGGGGAGCCAUAUCAGGCAAUAGUAAAGAGAAACGGUUCCUCUGCAUGUUCUGUAACAAAGCCUUCAGCUGCCCCCAGAAGGUGGAGAUUCACCAGAGGGUCCACACAGGGGAGAAACCCUUCAGCUGUACCCAGUGUCACAUGCGCUUCGCCCAGGCUUGCACCCUGAAGAGGCACCAAAGGGUCCAUACAGGGGAGAAACCCUACAGCUGUACCCAGUGUCACAUGCGCUUUGCCCAGGCUGGUAACCUGAAGAUGCACCUGAAGGUCCACACGGGAGAAAGGUCUUCUGACAUUUAGAUAAAAUCCUGCAUUAAAGACUGAUGAAUUGUCAUUGUUGUCAGCAUAAAAUAUCCACAGAUGCAUUUGGAAUACUGAGUAACAUAUUUCAGUGUUGAAUAUUCCUGGGUAGAAUAUUUCAUCCAGAUGUGUGAUAUAUAAGCCUAAAAAAUUGUUACAUGUUGUUUAUACUGUGUAAGCUAUAUGUUGGUCACAAAUGCCCAUUUAAUUUCUUCCAUUCAACUUCAUUUUUUCCACAAGAAAAUGAAUUCAAUUUAUCAAAUUCAUUCCGUUUUUUGUUGAGACGUGUGGUUUUCACAUGGUGUAUUUAACACUUGUUUCUGUUUAAUAAACACAAAAUGGGACUUUUCA
This is an RNA transcript of Oncorhynchus kisutch (coho salmon), 3081 nucleotides long. It is a transcript of the gene named zinc finger protein 583-like, with no coding region annotated. The transcript is spliced from 3 exons. The record is from RefSeq and is a predicted model, not a curated record. Lineage: Eukaryota; Metazoa; Chordata; Actinopteri; Salmoniformes; Salmonidae.